ACCCUGAUGACCCUCUAACACGGACCACCAGCGCUGGGUGGGACGUCAGGUGUCAGCUCUUGGCAGUGCCACCAGCUUCAGUCCCUCUGUGGGCCUGCCCGGGGCUGCCCGUGGCACUGAAGCAGCUGCUUCUCGACUGCACGUGGACUGAGCUUCUCUGUGAAUUACGGUCCAGUGAACUGUGGUAGAGCUGGCCUGUUCUCCCUGGGCUCGUGAAGCAAACUGCAGGAAGACAUUAGGAAGAGUAUCAGAACUCUGAAGUAGAUGACCUGCAGCCACAUUAAUUAUUGAUUGUGUUAGAAGUCGAUGAGUUGUGCUAAAUUAAUCUGUGCCAAGAUUUGCUCUGGAAAUGAAAAGUGAAGCAGACAGCAGGUCUCCAUGUUUCCCCAGCAGUGGCACAGCGGCAACGGUGGAUGUUCUCUGCACAAAUCAGCUGGUACUGGAUGGUUUCUUCCUGGAAAAAUAAAUGGAACAUAAACUGAUGGAGUGUGGUAUCACUGAUUUAAGGAGAAGCUGGAGCAGAUGAUGAUGAAGCGAGGUCCUGAGCACCCCUUUCCCAGUGGAGGUACCAGGACAGGAGACUCACAAUCAUCUCCCAUCAUCACUUCCACCCCUGAGGG
Molecule: long non-coding RNA, 620 nt
Filed under: Falco tinnunculus (common kestrel)
Lineage: Eukaryota; Metazoa; Chordata; Aves; Falconiformes; Falconidae
Description: lncRNA (ENSFTIG00000001345.1)
Source: RNAcentral